Non-coding RNA from Cimex lectularius (bed bug), 440 nucleotides. NCBI's taxonomy places the organism in Eukaryota, Metazoa, Arthropoda, Insecta, Hemiptera, Cimicidae. The record is from the annotation of a RefSeq genome assembly.
AAAACUAGGAUUAGAUACCCUAUUAUUCAAUUUGUAAUUUUAGUUUACCUUAGUAGUAUUAGUUAUGCUCUUGAAAUUAAAAGAAUUUGGCGGUAACUUAGUCUAUCCAGAGGAACCUGCUCUUUAAUCGAUGAUCCACGAGGAAUUUUACUUUUUUUAAGCUUGUAUACCUCUGUUAUUGAAUGUAUUAUAAGGUUUAUUUUCUACUUUCUUUAUGAGAACUAUAUCAGGUCAAGGUGCAGCAAUAAAGAAGCUAGUGGUGGGUUACUUUAUUAUUAAUUUAGGAUUUUUUAAUGGAAAAUUUAUAAUGAAUAAGGAUUUGGUAGUAAUAAUUAAUAUUUAUUAAUUAUGAUUUAAGCUCUGAGUUAUGCACACAUCGCCCGUCGCUCUUGGAUUCAAGAUAAGUCGUAACAAAGUAGAUUUACUGGAAAGUAAAUCUU